UAGGGAGUAGGGUCGAUCUCUCAGAGACUGGGUUUACUGCAAAUUGUUACUCUAUUGACCAGAUUUAUGUCGAGGUAGUUAUCGUGCCCAAGAUAUUAGGGUGAGGAUAAAAUCGAAAACCUGGAACCUGAAAGAAAUAAAUAAAACGCGUAAAAAGUAAAAGUUGAAAAUGAAAUAAUAAAAAGUAGUUAAAUAAAUUUGAAGAAAAAUUAACUAGAAUAAGCUCAACUUCAGGCACGAAUUUUUCCUUGUCUUUAAAUCGAUCCUCGAAAUUAGAUGAACUCCUCUUCUCCAAUAAGCUAGUUAUAGCUACCAAGGACGCCUCGGACACCAACUCUUCCUUGUGUAAAUUAAUUAUGGAACGUCCAAUAACUAACCCUUACCGAUCGAACAAUCACAAAACGUUCGUGAUUUAGAUCUCCGGCAGCUUUGCGUUCUAGAAGAGCCUAGCUCGAACUAAUGUCCUCAACCGCGUGGGACAUUUAAAUCCGGUUACUACUUCCCUUGACGGAACCAAACAUCUAUCUCCACUUGGCACGCCAAUGUGUUCACAGAAAACAGAUUAGAAACGUUCCUUUCGGAAUUCCAACUGUACGUCUAACCACAUUAAAUCAAAUGACGUCUUUUUGACUUAAUGUUGAUCUGACUUUGUGAGUUGGCAAAAUCAUACUUUUAAUUUGGAGAAAUAAUAAGUACUGGAAUUUAGGAGUUAAAUCCCUCGGGUUCGUAACUCACGGGUUUUGACGAGGCUAAUUCUGGCCUAAAGCUGAAAAUGGGUUUAGUUGGCUAAGGUUUGAGGCAUGUUGGUAUUGGAAUAAUUAAAUAAGGGAAAAUGGAUGAAAGGAAUGGGAAGCGUGAUUUAAUUUGGGGGGCUAAAAUUUUGGUGGUGAAAUAAAGUAAUAAAGUGAAUUAGCUACUGGAGAUGGAAAGAAAGUUUGAAAAGGAAAUUGAAAAUGGUUUAAGUGGUAACAAGCUGGAAAAUUAGGAAUUGAAAGUAAAGGAAACUAAAGACAACAAAUAAAUUUGUGAGAAAAGAGAGAAUGUAUUGAAAGAUGAAUGCUUGAUAUUUCAAUUGAUGAUUAAAAUGAACAAAUGUAGCCUCUAUUUAUACUAAUGGCCUUGCUAAAUUAAGAGCCAAUUAGUAUAGAAAAUCAAGGAAAAUAUUCAAUAUCCCAAAAUAAUCUCCAACUGAGUCAACAAUUUUAGCUAAUUAUUCUUGGAAAAAUUCUGCUUUGGCCCUCCUUCUUUGCUUCUUUCUUCAAUCUAGCCUAAUUGUUUCCUUUUUCUUCUAUUUAGCCCCAAAUUGCAUCCCUGCACAAAAUUCAAUAAAUAUGGCAAAAUUAGUGGUGCAUUCUCAUAAAUUAAUCAAUUUAAUUACAUAAAAUAUGUAACUUUAGCAUUUAAUCAAAUCCCCCUACUUAGCUUAUGCUAGUCCUCGAGCAUUUUGUAUGUAUCUGCAAAAGGAAAAAUUUUCUCCAAAAUAGGACUUGACCCCCAUGAUUUGCACAAUUCAACAAUUUAAUCCUAGCACAUUAACAUCUCAAAUAACCUAGCCUAAGAAGUAAGUAAAUAUAUUUCAGAAUUUAUUAGAGUUUGAUAGACUUACCUUCAUUUUAUUAUUUUAUUUAUUUAUUUCUGUACUUAAGACAUUUUUGAAUUUUUUGACGCGAAACAUGAUGACAACCCAAGCACCAUGUUCCGGUUACUCAAUUCGGACGUCUCUAAGCGGGUUAUUUUGCCCUACUCAUGAUUACUUGUUAACGGAGUGAGUGCAAAGAAAUUGAGCAGCCACACGAACCUUUUUACGCGAGAUGUAAUGACAACCCAAGCACCACGUUCUGGUUACUCAGCCCGAUGUACAGCCACAAUUUUUCACUCUUAACAUUCUAUCAGAGGAGUAUUUUUUUUGCAUUAAAAAUUUUGACAUAUGAUAAAAAGUAGACAGUCAAGCAAACUUAUAAUUCCCAAAAAAAUUUCUUACCCAUUAAGUCUAGGUUAUUGAAAAGUUUUAUGUGUAAAGAAUUAAAUAGCUAAAUAGGUCAAACCAUAAGUGUACCAUUCCAAUUUAAAAGAAAAAUUUUACCUUUUACCAAAAACAUGCAAAAAUAGCGAUGACAGAUAAGCAAAUUAGAACCAAUUUAUGUUUCCCUCCCCCCUACUUAUUUUACAUUGUCCCAAUGUAAUUCAAAGAAUAAAAGUAAAGAUAAGUAGGAGAAAGAGAGAAAAAAGAAACUCCCCAUGUAUUUCAAUGUCGUAGAGGUUGGUCUCGUAGGUAGAGUGGGCCUUGGCUGAAAUAAAAAGAAUUUUGUGGGUUGACAUGUAGAAUUUAAUUUUCUCUUGGAAUGUUUUCCUACAAAAAUAAAAUAAAAUAGUAAAAAUAAAUAAUAAUAAUAGGAAAAUUAAAUUUUUUUUCUUUUCAAAUUUAUUAGCUAAGCUAUAAACUCAAGAAAUAAAUUAUUAAAAACUAAGAUUACGAGAUUUGGUAAAAUAGUCGUGAUAAAUGCGCCAAGUAAGUUCCCAGGAAAGAGAGGUGAGUCACAAUGGACAUACUUAAGUACCAAGUCUUUCCUUAGACAGAACUAAUCCUCGACAUGCAUUUUGAUUUUCCAUUUUACCAAAAAUUUUAUUUUCAUAAAGGAAAAGAAAAUUUGGGUUGCCUCCCAACAGCACUUUGUUUAACGUCGUUUAGCUCGACGACUUGUGUUAUUCAAAUUCUUUAUCCUUUUGUAAUAGACUGCAAAGCGGUUGCAUGAUUUUCAAGAAGUCUUUUAUGAAUCGUCUAUAAGAUCCGUACACCGUGAAGUCAUUCAUGAAGACUUCAAUGAUUUUCUUGACAUAAUCGGAGAAUUUGCUCGACAUGCAUCUCUAGAAAGUGGUCGGAGCAUUAUAGAGUCUAGACGGCAUUCGUCUAUAUGCAAACGUUUCAAAAAGGCACGUGAAAGUUGUUUUGUCUUGAUCCUCAGGCGCCACCAGAAUUGGGAAAAAUCCUGAAUAUCCAUUGAGACUACAAUAAUGAGUCUUACCAGCUAAUCGCUUGAGCAUUUGAUCGAUGAAGGGAAGUGGAAGAUGGUCUUUCCGGGUAGCUGCGUUCAACUUCUUGUAAUCGAUGCAAACCCUCCAUCCAUUCUGGACUCGGGUAGGAACUAGCUUUCCUGACAAAUUUUUCACCACUAUCACGCCAUUUUUCUUGGGCACGACAUGAACUGGGCUAACCCAAUCACUGUCGGAGAUCGGGUAUAUCAUUUCAGCAUCCAACAAUUUCUGGAUUUUCGAUUCUAUUCUGACUUUUGGAUCAAAGAUCUGCUUUUCCCGUUCGUUGUCUUGCCCAUGACUUUUUUCUGGAACUGUUUCCAAAACUUUUUCGCUACGAAGAGUUAUUACACUUACAUUCUGCCUAGGAUUCGGCUCUAUCUAGGAAGGUAAUUUACCUUGAGACUCUAAACGAUUAACUGCCAUCGAGAGUUUACUAACUUGAGUAGUUAACUCUGUAUUGAUGCAUCUGUCCUCUGUUGAUAUUUUACAGCAUCAACGACAAGUCUUUCCACAAUAGCUUCUAGAGAUGUGCUCAGCUUGGGUGGCAGUUGCGGUGGUUGCAAAGGUUACGGUUGGUAUGACGGAUUAUAUCAAGGAUUAGCUCCGUAAUUCAAGUUGGGAUGAUCCUUCCACCCGGGAUUGUAGGUGUUGGAGAAAGGAUCAUAGCGUCUUUGCGGAGGUCUCGGAAAACCUCCAACAUCGUCAACAUGUGCCGUUGAUUUUUCGUUAAGGAUUGGGCACAAAUCCGUCGGAUGUUCAGAUGUAGUACAAAUUCCACACAGCUGGGUCAGAUUCUUCUUUUCUGUAAGCAUAGUUUGAACAAUAUUAGUGAGCUUAUACAAUUUAUCUUCUAAGGAUGAAACAUUUACCCCAUUAACUCGUCUUGUGGGUUCUGAAUUUGGCCUAUACUGUUGAGAAGUUACCGCCAUGGUGGAUAUCAGUUCUCUUGCCCUUUGAGGAGUCAUAUUGACAAGCGCCCGUCCACUAGCAGCAUCAAUCAUUUUCAUUUCCAUAGGGAGCAAACCCUCGUAGAAAUACUGAAGAAGUGAUUGCUCGGUCAAACCGUGUUGAGGACAACUUGCACACAGUUUUUUGUAUUGCUCCCAAUAGUCAUAGAGCGAUUCACUUUCCAUUUGGCGAAUUCCCACUAUGUCUCUCCUAAGUUCAGCUACUCGCGAUGCUGGGAAGAAUCUAUCAAGAAAAACACGAGAUAAGUCAUCCUACGUUGUAAUAGAACCUGGAGGUAAGUAAAAUAACCAUUCUCUUGCUGUAUCAACUAAAGAAAAAAGAAAGGUCCGAAGUUUGAUUUCAUCUUCGGUUACUCCCUGAGGUUUCAUGCUUGAGCAGACCAUGUGGAAUUCUCUCAAGUGAGUGUGUGGAUUUUCAUUCUUCAAGCCUCGAAAAGUGGGCAAAAGGUGGAUCAGGCCUGACUUCAACUCAAAUGGGGUUUCUCCGAUUGGAUAGUUGAUGCAUAACAGUGUUUACUCAUUGGGCGCAGCAGCUAGUUGAUGAAUGGUUCGGUUUGCCAUCCUUUCUUGUUCACCGAGGUUGUCUCCUGCCUCUUUUGUUUCACAAAGUGGUUUGGUCUCAGUUUCAACCACUGCGACUUCUUUUCCACGUUGAAUUGCUUCUACACGUUUAAGAACUUCCGCUCUUUACGUCGUGCUUGUGCUGAUUUUUUGAUCUCUGGGUCGUAUUCGAGAUCUCCGGAUGAAGAUCUGGUUAUAAAGAUAAUCUAAAAAAUUUGUAAGUGUUGCCAAUCCCCAGCAACGGCGCCAAAACUGAUGGGUGUCAAAUCCACCAAUAUAAAUCUACACCUAAUUUUGCAAAUUUAAGCAGUAUAGGGAGUAGGGUCGAUCCCUCAGAGACUGGGUUUACUGCAAAUUGUUGCUCUAUUGACUAGAUUUAUGUUGGGGCAGUUGUCGUGCCCAAGAUAUUAGGGGGAGGAUAAAAUCGAAAACCUGGAACCUGAAAUAAAUAAAUAAAACGCGUAAAAAGUAAAAGUUGAAAAUGAAAUAAUAAAAUGCAGUUAAAUCAAUUUAAAGAAAAAUUAAUUAGAAUAAGCUCAGCUUUAGGCACGGAUUUUUCCUCGUCUUUAAAUUGAUCCUCGAAAUUAUAUAAACUCCUCUUCUCCAAUAAGCUAGUUAUAGCUACCAAGGACGCCUCGGACACCAACUCUUCCUUGUGUAAAUUAGUUAUGGAACGUCCAAUAACUAACCCUUACCGAUCGAACAACCAUGAAACGUUCGUGAUUUAGAACUCCGGCAGCUUUGCGUUCUAGAAGAGCCUAGCUCGAACCAAUGUCCUCAACCGCGUGGGACAUUUAAAUCCGGUUACUACUUCCUUGACGGAACCAAAUAGCUAUCUCCACUUGGCACGCCAAUGUGUUCACAGAAAACCGAUUAGAAACGUUCCUUUCAGAAUUCCAACUGUACGUCUAACCACAUUAAAUCAAAUAACGUCUUUUUGACUUAAUGUUGAUCUGACUUUGUGAGUUAGCAAAAUCAUACUCUUAAUCCGGAGAAAUAAUAAGUACUGGAAUUUAGGAGUUAAAUCACUCGGGUUCGUAACUCACGGGUUUUGACGAGGCUAAUUCCGGCCUAAAGCUGAAAAUGAGUUUAGUGGGCUAAGGUUUGAGGCAUGUUGGUAUUGGAAUAAUUAAUUAAGGUAAAUGGAUGAAAGGAAUGGGAAGCGUGAUUUAAUUUGGGGGGCUAAAAUUUUGGUGGUGAAAUAAAGUAAUAAAGUGAAUUAGCUACUGGAGAUGGAAAGAAAGUUUGAAAAGGAAAUUGAAAAUGGUUUAAGUGGUAACAAGCUGGAAAAUUAGGAAUUGAAAGUAAAGGAAACUAAAGACAACAAAUAAAUUUGUGAGAAAAGAGAGAAUGUAUUGAAAGAUGAAUGCUUGAUAUUUCAAUUGAUGAUUAAAAUGAACAAAUGUAGCCUCUAUUUAUACUAAUGGCCUUGCUAAAUUAAGAGCCAACUAGUAUAGAAAAUCAAGGAAAAUAUUCCAUAAUAUAAAAAAAUAUCCCAAAAUAAUCUCCCACUAAGUCAACAAUUUCAGCUAAUUAUUCUUGGAAAAAAUCUGCUUUGGCCCUCCUUCUUUGCUUCUUUCUUCAAUCUAGCCCAAUUCUUUCCUUUUUCUUCUAUUUAGCCCCAAAUUGCAUUCCUGCACAAAAUUUAAUAAAUAUGGCAAAAUUAGUGGUGCAUUCUCAUAAAUUAACCAAUUUAAUUACAUAAAAUAUGUAACUUUAGCAUUUAAUCAUUGAAGGACAACAAACGUGAAUGAUGGAGUUUCCAACAAUUGAAAUGGGAAAAAGAAAAGUUGAAUUGUUUUGAUCAACAUGCAUUAUGGAUGACAUAUGAAAUCAUUUUUUAUUAUUAAUUCUGAAUGGAACACAAAGGGUGCCUUCUCUGAGCUUUAAUAGCCAUGCUUAUGUAUUUAUUUAUGUUUAUUUGACCCUGUUGGUUUGGAUCAUCAUUUUGUGAAGAAAUUCAAUGGUAAUGUUGUAACUUUUUGAUGUUGUAAAAUUUUAUAACAUAUGGAUUAUGUUAUAUAAAUUAAUGAAAUCAUGUAACCUUUUGUUA
RNAcentral lists this long non-coding RNA (6615 nucleotides) under Gossypium barbadense (sea-island cotton). RNAcentral's name for it is "long non-coding RNA (GBAR_LNC018967)". The record is from RNAcentral. Lineage: Eukaryota; Viridiplantae; Streptophyta; Magnoliopsida; Malvales; Malvaceae.